AGGAAUAACUCCCUUCCUGAUGAGAAUAAUAUUGCAAGGCUUCAGGAAGAACUCAUUGCUGUGAAACUUAGAGAAGCAGAAGCCAUUAUGGGUUUGAAAGAACUUAGACAGCAAGUCAAGGAUUUAGAGGAACACUGGCAGCGCCACUUAGCUCGUACUACUGGGAGAUGGAAAGACCCACCCAAGAAAAAUGCUAUGAAUGAGUUACAAGAUGAACUGAUGACCAUUCGACUUAGAGAAGCUGAAACACAAGCAGAAAUAAGAGAAAUAAAACAAAGGAUGAUGGAAAUGGAAACACAGAACCAGAUCAAUAGUAACCAUCUUCGAAGAGCAGAACAAGAGGUGAUUAGCCUACAGGAGAAAGUGCAGUAUCUUUCUGCACAGAACAAAGGACUCCUUACUCAAUUAAGUGAAGCAAAGCGUAAACAAGCAGAGAUUGAAUGCAAGGUAAAUAUGUCAACUAACUGAUUUUGUUUUUUGUCAAUAUAAUAAUGCCUUUUUUUGUUUGUUUUAUCGUGAUUAGAUUAUCUUAAAAACAAAACAAAAAAGCUCGUCCUAUUUUCUACUUUUCCUGAACU
This 578-nucleotide small RNA is filed under the name Pan troglodytes (chimpanzee). RNAcentral describes it as "processed transcript". The record is from RNAcentral. Lineage: Eukaryota; Metazoa; Chordata; Mammalia; Primates; Hominidae.